CAGCAGCCGCGGGAAUACGUAGGUGGCAAGCGUUGUCCGGAAUUAUUGGGCGUAAAGGGCUCGCAGGCGGUUUCUUAAGUCUGAUGCGAAAGCCCCCGGCUCAACCGGGGAGGGUCAUUGGAAACUGGGAAACUUGAGUGCAGAAGAGGAGAGUGGAAUUCCACGUGUAGCGGUGAAAUGCGUAGAGAUGUGGAGGAACACCAGUGGCGAAGGCGACUCUCUGGUCUGUAACUGACGCUGAGGAGCGAAAGCGUGGGGAGCGAACAGGAUUAGAUACCCCCGUAGUCCCUGUCUCUUAUAC
Molecule: ribosomal RNA, 301 nt
Filed under: uncultured bacterium
Lineage: Bacteria
Description: partial 16S ribosomal RNA
Rfam family: Bacterial small subunit ribosomal RNA
Source: RNAcentral